Molecule: ribosomal RNA, 524 nt
Filed under: Bacillus sp. G11
Lineage: Bacteria; Bacillati; Bacillota; Bacilli; Caryophanales; Bacillaceae
Description: bacterial SSU rRNA
Rfam family: Bacterial small subunit ribosomal RNA
Source: RNAcentral
GGGGUUGANCUUGAUUNACCUUGCGGCGUGCCUAAUACAUGCAAGUCGAGCGAACCAAUAAGAAGCUUGCUUUUUGUUGGUUAGCGGCGGACGGGUGAGUAACACGUGGGUAACCUGCCUGUAAGACCGGGAUAACUCCGGGAAACCGGUGCUAAUACCGGAUAGAUUAUCUUUCCGCCUGGAGAGAUAAGGAAAGAUGGCUUUUGCCAUCACUUACAGAUGGGCCCGCGGCGCAUUAGCUAGUUGGUGAGGUAACGGCUCACCAAGGCGACGAUGCGUAGCCGACCUGAGAGGGUGAUCGGCCACACUGGGACUGAGACACGGCCCAGACUCCUACGGGAGGCAGCAGUAGGGAAUCUUCCCGCAAUGGACGAAAGUCUUGACGGAGCAACCGCCCGCGUGAGNGAAGAAAGGUCUUCGGAUCGUAAAGCUUCUGGUUGNUAGGGGGAAGAANCAAGUUUUCGGAAGGAAAAUGGCCCGGUACCCUUGACCGGUACCUUGACCAAGAAAAGCCCCCGGUUAAC